CCUACGGGUGGCAGCAGUGGGGAAUAUUGGACAAUGGGGGGAACCCUGAUCCAGCCAUGCCGCGUGUGUGAAGAAGGCCCUCGGGUUGUAAAGCACUUUCAGUGAGGAAGAACGCCUGGUGGUUAAUACCCAUCAGGAAAGACAUCACUCACAGAAGAAGCACCGGCUAACUCCGUGCCAGCAGCCGCGGUAAUACGGAGGGUGCGAGCGUUAAUCGGAAUUACUGGGCGUAAAGCGCGCGUAGGUGGCUUGAUAAGCCGGUUGUGAAAGCCCUGGGCUCAACCUGGGAACGGCAUCCGGAACUGUCAAGCUAGAGUGCAGGAGAGGAAGGUAGAAUUCCCGGUGUAGCGGUGAAAUGCGUAGAGAUCGGGAGGAAUACCAGUGGCGAAGGCGGCCUUCUGGACUGACACUGACACUGAGGUGCGAAAGCGUGGGUAGCAAACAGGAUUAGAUACCCGGGUAGUC
Molecule: ribosomal RNA, 465 nt
Filed under: Vreelandella stevensii
Lineage: Bacteria; Pseudomonadati; Pseudomonadota; Gammaproteobacteria; Oceanospirillales; Halomonadaceae
Description: partial 16S ribosomal RNA
Rfam family: Bacterial small subunit ribosomal RNA
Source: RNAcentral